GACGAACGCUGGCGGCGUGCUUAACACAUGCAAGUCGAACGAUGAAGCUGGAGCUUGCUCUAGCGGAUUAGUGGCGAACGGGUGAGUAACACGUGAGCAAUCUGCCCUUGACUCUGGGAUAACUGCGGGAAACUGUAGCUAAUACCGGAUACUUUCACCGGGGGGCAUCCUCUGGUGAUGAAAGAAUUUCGGUCUAGGAUGAGCUCGAGGCCUAUCAGCUUGUUGGUGAGGUAACGGCUCACCAAGGCGACGACGGGUAACCGGCCUGAGAGGGUGACCGGUCACACUGGGACUGGGACACGGCCCAGACUCCUACGGGAGGCAGCAGUGGGGAAUAUUGCACAAUGGGCGCAAGCCUGAUGCAGCAACGCCGCGUGAGGGAUGAAGGCCUUCGGGUUGUAAACCUCUUUUAGCAGGGAAGAAGCGAAAGUGACGGUACCUGCAGAAAAAGCACCGGCUAACUACGUGCCAGCAGCCGCGGUAA
RNAcentral lists this ribosomal RNA (484 nucleotides) under uncultured bacterium. RNAcentral's name for it is "partial 16S ribosomal RNA". It matches the Rfam family "Bacterial small subunit ribosomal RNA", at positions 28 to 523 of the family's 1533-position model. The record is from RNAcentral.